UUCCUCUGGUGUGACCCACCUCAUGUUGGCUCUUCGUGUUGCAGAGCUGCUCCUCCUUACUGUAAUGACCGCUCUGCUCAUCAGAACGUGGCGCAGAACAAGAGUGACGAUGAAAACACCUGCGGGCAACGCUGUGCAUAACGAUAAUGAUGAUGGCGGUUCAGUGAACUAUGACGAUGUCGACGCUCCCUCUUCCUCUGUCGGACUCCACUGAUCAACAGCCUCCACACUGACGUCGACUAACCAGAGAAACAAGACGACACAGCAGCUGAAUGUCAUCACAUUGCAAUCAUUUUCAGAGGAGUCACUGAAGAAUUUAUAUUAGAAGUUAAAAGAUGAGUCAAC
Long non-coding RNA from Myripristis murdjan (pinecone soldierfish), 345 nucleotides. RefSeq lists it as uncharacterized. The transcript is spliced from 3 exons. NCBI's taxonomy places the organism in Eukaryota, Metazoa, Chordata, Actinopteri, Holocentriformes, Holocentridae. The record is from RefSeq and is a predicted model, not a curated record.